GGGGAUGUUGCUCAGCGGUAGAGCGCAUGCUUCGCAUGUAUGAAUUCCUCGGUUCAAUCCCCAGCAUCUCCA
Non-coding RNA from Danio rerio (zebrafish), 72 nucleotides. The record is from Rfam. Lineage: Eukaryota; Metazoa; Chordata; Actinopteri; Cypriniformes; Danionidae.